Molecule: ribosomal RNA, 495 nt
Filed under: uncultured bacterium
Lineage: Bacteria
Description: partial 16S ribosomal RNA
Rfam family: Bacterial small subunit ribosomal RNA
Source: RNAcentral
GACGAACGCUGGCGGCGUGCCUAAUACAUGCAAGUAGAACGCUGAAGGAGGAGCUUGCUCUUCUGGAUGAGUUGCGAACGGGUGAGUAACGCGUAGGUAACCUGCCUGGUAGCGGGGGAUAACUAUUGGAAACGAUAGCUAAUACCGCAUAACAGUAGAUGUUGCAUGACAUUUACUUAAAAGGUGCAAUUGCAUCACUACCAGAUGGACCUGCGUUGUAUUAGCUAGUUGGUGGGGUAACGGCUCACCAAGGCGACGAUACAUAGCCGACCUGAGAGGGUGAUCGGCCACACUGGGACUGAGACACGGCCCAGACUCCUACGGGAGGCAGCAGUAGGGAAUCUUCGGCAAUGGACGGAAGUCUGACCGAGCAACGCCGCGUGAGUGAAGAAGGUUUUCGGAUCGUAAAGCUCUGCUGUAAGAGAAGAACGAGUGUGAGAGUGGAAAGUUCACACUGUGACGGUAUCUUACCAGAAAGGGACGGCUAACUACGUG